GAAGUGAGUCAGCAAUCCAAUUACAUGUUUUAAUUAACCAUCACAUUUAUCACAUGUUAUCACAUGCUUAAGAUUCAAAAGUACGUUGAGGCUCCUUCCACCUGAGUUCAGCCCUCCUCCGCCGUGGCGGAGCUUCAAUAUCUACACUACCUAACUCAUCUCCUUCAUCUCUUUCCUCUGAGUCCGAAUCUUGCCCUAAAAAUCUCCAAUUCUUCCUCAACAAUCUGAACUGAAGAAAUGUGUUCAAGAACCCUAGAAACGAAAUGAGAAAUAAAAUUGUUAAACUCUGGAAUCAAAGCCCUAGAGGUUAGGGCUUUGAUUCUCCUGACCAACCUCUACAUCAUGGCAACUAGGACGAAUCAAAAUGCUUAAGAUAAACUAAAUCACUCACCGGAGCGGACGCCAGAACUCAGAUAUGAUGUUCUAAGUCUUUGAAUCUUUCUCCUCUUCGUCUUAGAAUCCUUCUUCUUCUUCACUUUCUUCUUCUUCUAUGUGUGUCUUUGAUGAUGGAGUUUAGUACAAGCUGAUUGAAGCUCUGAUGAUGACCUUCAAUGCCUUCCGAGGAGUGCGUAUAUGUGAGGUUAAGGGAGGGAGAGCGAGAAACUUCAGGGAGUACAGUGAGAGAGAUGGAGAUGACUCAAUGUAAACUCUUGUGCAAAUGAUUGCUAAUCCCAAAAAAGGUGAAUCAAUGUGAUUUAUAAGGGUUUCUUAUCGUAACUGAAUGGGGCAGAGUUAGGGCAGAGUUAGAGCAGGGUUAAUUUAUGAGUCAAUUCAGUUGAGUUGUGUAACUAUUUUUUGAUCAAAUCCAAAGUUAGUUAUGUGGUUAAUAUCUGCAAAUCCCAAUGCCAAACAUUUAGGGCAAGUUAGUUAGGUUUUAUUAGUGAAUUGCUAAGUUGUGUAGUUUGUGGAUUGGUUUUUGUGAGUCCAAUUGUGAGUGUUGAGCCAUGAUAUAUUAGUUGAAUUUUCUUUUUGGUUUAGUUAUGAUUUCGGGUUUAAUUUGAUGAUGCUUUAGUUUAUUGUUUUGUGGUUCAGUCUAUGAUAUUCUUGUGGGUUUGCUGUGAAUGUCAGUUUGGUUUUGUUGUGUUAGAGAUGCAUUUUUGUUGUUUUACUGUGAUGCUACUAACUUGAUGAUGUAUAAUGUCCUUGAUGUGCCUUCUACAUAUAAUUAUGACCUUGUAAUGCAGGCUUGUUGCAUUGUUGAAUCUUGGUUGUGUGCAACAGGUCUGCAACAUAUGGUUUAGACUUGGGGAUGCAUCAUAGCUUGGUCACAUGCAUUGUUUUGCUAUUGGAUUAUUAAUGCAGAAUUGUCUCAUGGGUUGUAGGUGGUUUCUACUCGAUUUUUACUGUGACUGUGAUGUAUAUGAUGUUUAUUAUAUGAUAAUGAUGAAAUGAUGUAGGAUGGUGGUAUUGGCAUGCCUUGAAGUGGUGUUGAGUCAAUGAAUGCAGGGGUGUCUUCAUGGCUUCUAUCAUCUGCUUUGUGCAGGUCUGAGACUAGGUCUGCAAUAGGCUGAAUAUGCAUUGUUUGGAUUUGCUGCUGGAUGUAUUCAAUAUGCAUAAAAAUAUAUGGCCUCCUAUGAUGCAAGAUGCAUAGGCAUUGCUGGUAUGACCAGACUAUGGCAUGUUACAGCAUGUGUGUUCACUUGGCUUGUGAUUGGUUGGUUGCACAAACAAAAUGACAACAAGACUUCCUCGUGAAGAACCAAGUGGAUUGGCCAGUCGAGAUCAAUUAUGGAACAUGAGGAUUAGGAUUAGGAUAUUUAGGGAUGCAAAGUGAUUAAGUUGACUUUGGUCAAAAUUGACCAAAAAAUCAACUGUUGACCAAAGUCAAUUGUUGACCAAAGUCAACAAUUAGUUCAAAGUUCUUUUUUUUGUAUUUUUCUCAUGGAAUGGACAUUAAUGGAUUGUAAAUGGUUAUUUGAACGAAAUUAAAUGGAUUUCAAAUUGGUUUUGAA
This is a long non-coding RNA of Lathyrus oleraceus (garden pea), 1952 nucleotides long. RefSeq lists it as uncharacterized. Lineage: Eukaryota; Viridiplantae; Streptophyta; Magnoliopsida; Fabales; Fabaceae. The transcript has 4 exons. The record is from RefSeq and is a predicted model, not a curated record.